RNAcentral lists this ribosomal RNA (563 nucleotides) under sediment metagenome. RNAcentral describes it as "bacterial SSU rRNA". It matches the Rfam family "Archaeal small subunit ribosomal RNA", at positions 735 to 1298 of the family's 1478-position model. The record is from RNAcentral.
ACCCGGGUAGUCCUAGCAGUAAAUCAUGCAAACUAGGCGUUGCAGUCACUUAGAGUGGUUGCAGUGCCGUACCGAAGGGGUUUAGUUUGCCACUUGGGGAGUACGGUCGCAAGGCUGAAACUUAAAGGAAUUGGCGGGGGAGCACCACAAGGGGUGGAUGCUGCGGUUCAAUUGGAUUCAACGCCGGGAAACUCACCAGAAGAGACGGCAGUAUGAAGCUCAGACUAAAGAUCUUAGCUAACGAGCCGAGAGGUGUUGCAUGGCCCGCGUCAGUUCGUGCCGUGAGGUGUCAGGUUAAGUCCUGUAACGAACGAGAUCUCUGUCCACAGUUGCUACCGAGAAAGAAAUUUUGAGGGCACUCUGUGGAGACCGCCAGCGUUAAGUUGGAGGAAGGAAGAGGCGACGCUAGGUCUGUAUGGCCCUAAUCUUCUGGGCCACACGUGGCAUACAAUGGCCAAGACAAUGGGUUCCGACUCCGAAAGGAGAAGCGAAUCUCACAAACUUGGCCUAAGUUCGGAUUGGGGGCUGAAACUCGCCCCCAUGAAGCUGGAAUCCCUAGUAAU